Molecule: ribosomal RNA, 249 nt
Filed under: uncultured Fimbriimonas sp.
Lineage: Bacteria; Bacillati; Armatimonadota; Fimbriimonadia; Fimbriimonadales; Fimbriimonadaceae
Description: partial 16S ribosomal RNA
Rfam family: Bacterial small subunit ribosomal RNA
Source: RNAcentral
UCGGGAAUCUUGCACAAUGGGGGAAACCCUGAUGCAGCGACGCCGCGUGGAGGAUGAAGGAUCUAGGUCUGUAAACUCCUUUUAUCGGGAAAGACUUAGGACGGUACCCGAUGAAUAAGCACCGGCUAACUACGUGCCAGCAGCCGCGGUAAGACGUAGGGUGCGAGCGUUGUCCGGAUUCACUGGGCGUAAAGAACGCGUAGGCGGCCUGUUAAGUGUGAAGGGAAAUCUCCAGGGCUCAACCCGGAA